This 303-nucleotide ribosomal RNA is filed under the name uncultured bacterium. RNAcentral describes it as "partial 16S ribosomal RNA". It matches the Rfam family "Bacterial small subunit ribosomal RNA", at positions 507 to 807 of the family's 1533-position model. The record is from RNAcentral.
AGCAGUCGCCGCGGGAAUACAGAGGGUGCGAGCGUUAAUCGGAUUUACUGGGCGUAAAGCGUGCGUAGGCGGCCUCUUAAGUCGGAUGUGAAAUCCCUGAGCUUAACUUAGGAAUUGCAUUCGAUACUGGGAAGCUAGAGUAUGGGAGAGGAUGGUAGAAUUCCAGGUGUAGCGGUGAAAUGCGUAGAGAUCUGGAGGAAUACCGAUGGCGAAGGCAGCCAUCUGGCCUAAUACUGACGCUGAGGUACGAAAGCAUGGGGAGCAAACAGGAUUAGAGACCCCUGUAGUCCCUGUCUCUUAUAC